CAGUUGGUCUCAAGGGAAAAGGGCUGUACAUAUCUGUGGGCUCUUCCUCCUGCUCCUGUCACCACAACAACUAGUGUGUGGAGCACAACUAGCCUGACCCUCUAAAUGCAGCAGUCCAAUCCCCUAAAAAAGUGGAGUCUCACUCUGUCGCCCAGGCUGGAGUGCAAUGGCGCGAUCUUAGCUCACUGCAAGCUCCGCCUCCCAGGUUCACGCCAUUCUCCUGCCUCAGCCUCCGGAGCAGUUGGGACUACAGGAGCCCGCUACCACGCCCGGCUAAUUGUUUUUGUAUUUUUAGUAGAAACGGGGUUUCACCGUGUUAGCCAGGAUGGUCUCAAUCUCCUGACCUCGUGAUGCGCCCGCCUCGGCCUCCCAAAGUGCUGGGAUUACAGGCGUGAGCCACCGCGGCCGGCCAGCAUAGGAAGCUGUUUCCCGCAUUAAAACAUGGUAUGUAUAGAAAACUCAAACAGGAAGACAAAACAUCAAGAAAAUUUUUAAGAUACAGGGGUAAUAAUUCAUUCAAUAAAUCCGGUAAUAUCCUAAAAACUUAUUUUCUUAAAUUUAAUCUCCUGUGGUUAUCAGCAAGAUGUAUGCACUGUUAACAAUGAAAACAUAGAAAUCUGCUGGCAAAAUUUAACCUGAAAAUAAGUUAUGAAAAAGAAAU
RNAcentral lists this long non-coding RNA (661 nucleotides) under Homo sapiens (human). Its description in RNAcentral is "HSALNT0293072". The record is from RNAcentral. Lineage: Eukaryota; Metazoa; Chordata; Mammalia; Primates; Hominidae.